UUGUUCUUGGGUCUGCAUGCAAUCUGCAGAGAGAGGCUGGGUCAGGCUGAGCCGCAGGGAUAGGAUAGGGCAGAGUGAUGCUGAAACUUAUUAGGGGGGAGGAGAAAGGGGAAAGCUGUGUAUGCAGAUGUUGAGUUGGGAAUUAAAGUGAUAUCAUCAAUGAACAAAGCACAAACAAGAGUGGAAGAAGACUAAAAAGCAAAGACAGGUAGCUCGGAUUAACAAGAAAACUCAACCGGAGAGAUGGAGGUCAUAUUCAAAUUGCUUGUGUGCCUGCUUCUGGUCCUGCACAGUAAGAUAUCAGUUUUACUCUCCUAUUCUCUGUGGGAUUGCAAGGCGUUUUAUAAUGUUUACCCCGGGGACUUUCCAAAGCAAUCAGUGAACUUUAACUAAAGCUGCAAAGUAGCCACAAGAACGACUGUAGCAAAGGUCCAACGGGGAAAAGAGGUUGGGUGUGUACAAGUCUCGGUAAAAUAUAUAAUAAUAAUAAUAACAAAGUGUUUAACCAGGAAAGGUACAUUCAGAUAUUCUCUGGUUUCCAAGUACGUAUUAGUUAGUUAUAUUAAACUAUUACCCAAUGCAACUAAGGAUAGUUGCUACCCACAACCAUAUAUGAUACUUUUAUGGAAUGUUUUGAAUAAUAACAAGGUCAACAGAACAUGUUGGUAGGGAUCUAUCGAGGCAAAAACAGGUGCUAUUCUGGAGCAAAGAGCUAAAUAUGGAGCAAUCACCAUGGAAACCAAACAAUCAAUAUUUAGCACCGAAAAUCGCACCAAGUUUGCCUUGAUUAAUUUCCCUCAUUUUCUCUUAGGUGUAAGAAGCCCCUUGAAUUGUCAUUCACUGGCAUGUAAUGUUACGGUCCAUAGAGUUUAGAGAGUUAAUGUAACGUUAUAUCACUUUUAUCUUUAUUUUAACUCCUUAAGAGUCAAUUACAGUAUAAUUCUGUCAUUAUAAUCUAGGCUUUACCAAACACUAAUUAAAUUAGAGUGUUGCACUCAUUAAGAGACAGCAAGGAUGUAUAGGAAAUCUGAUGCCAAGUAAGCACGAGAUUUGGAUGGAGGCAUGAAAUGGAUUCGGUCCAUAAAUGGUUAAUUGAACAGCAUAUGGUUUGUUUUCUUUUAAUUUGCAUAUGAUUAAAGUUAUUAUCAAGUUAGACAUGGACUCUUAUUAGCUUCAGUUGCUUAUGACUUUAUUAAGAAAAGAAAUGUUUGUUUUGGAAAAAUAUCUCUCCAGUCUUCACCUCCACCCAAAAGCAAAUAAAUAGACAUGGUCGAACAUGUGCUUGUUGUCUUGGUCGCUAUCGAGAGAAAUUAAAUAUGUAAUAGAGUUUGUACUGCUAUCCCCUUGGGCAUACAUAGGAACAUGUUUUGACCUUUUUGAGAUCUAUGAUGAUGCAGAAAAGUUGCAUAUUCUAUUAAAACUGAUCUUGAUGCAGAUGAAGUCGAGUUUCUCGCUUGUUUUCCUAAAACCGUAAUGGUCUUUUUUCCUAUUUUAUCUCCUGUUCAAAAAAGCAGUGUAGCAAUCCCAAGCUUUUUGGAAUUAUUUCACUUUAUUAGACUCUAGCAACUCUGCUGGAAUGCUGUUCCUUCCAUGUACAACUCCUUCUGUACAACUCCUGCAGAAACCUGUCUCCCUCCACCUAGCUUUAAGGGGACACUAUAGUCACCAGAACAACUACAGCUUAAUUUAGUGCUUCUGGUGUCUACAGCAUGUCCCUGCAGGCUUUUUAAUGUAAACACUGCCUUUUCACAGAAAAGACUGUGUUUAAAUUUCCGCCUAGGGACACCUCUAGCGGCAGUCACUCAGAUGACCACUAGAGGUGAUUCUUAGCCCAGUGUUCAGUAUCUUCAUGCUCUACGUUUCCCAUAGAGGUGCGUUGAUUCAAUGCCGUUUUGCCUAAUUGGAUUGGCUGAGAGUAUCAAGUUUGAUGAUCCAUGUAGCCAUUACCACGUCUUGGCUUCAACAUAUGAAUUUUUAGUAAUUUAUCUCUUUCCUGAUAUGUAUUAUUGCGGACUUUGCACGGGUCUAGUAUUCCUUGUUAGAAUUUCUUCUGUUGUUUCUAUGUCUCUUUGUAGUAAAGUUCUCUAGAACUGGACACAAUAUUAUAGAUGCAUUCUUCUAAGCACAUUUUAUUAGGGUGUGCACCCGGGAAUAUUUUUUCGAAGGCUGUGUGCGAGAGGUUUUUUUGUUUUGAGAAGGUGUGUGGUAGCUGUAAGCUGUAUCUUUCUGUCUGUUUUCUGUGGCUGUGUGUGAAUAGCUAUGUGUGAUGUGUGAGUAUAUUAGAGUGAUAUGUCUGGGUACUUGUGAGUGAAUAGUAUUGCUGUAAAUGAAUGGUAUUGCUGUGUGUUAUGUGUGUGGGUAGCAGUGAGGGCCGUGUGAACAGAUGAGUGUGCUGUCAGUGGGGAAGCUGGGAUAGGAGUGAUAGGCAUGGGGAGAGAAUGUUAGGUGUGGAAGUGAUCGGAGUGGUAAUGGAAUGGAUUGUUGGGAGUGAUAGGAACUUGCGGAGAAGAAGGGAUGAGUUGAAGUGAUAGCAGGUUGAGGAUGGUGGAUCAGAUGAUGGGGAGAGAUGGAAAUAUGUGGCGGAAGUGAUAGGGGUAUGGGAGAGAUGGAGGGAUGGAGGGAUGGCUGGCAGAGAGGGCAAGAGUGAGGGAGAGAUGGUUGGAGUAUGGGGUGAGAGGGAUAGACGGAUAGAUGGGAGGGGAGUAUGGGGUGAGAGGGAUAGACGGAUAGAUGGGAGGGGAGGAUGGGGUGAGAGGGAUAGACGGAUAGAUGGGAGGGGAGGAUGGGGAGAGAGGGAUAGACGGAUAGAUGGGAGGGGAGGAUGGGGAGAGAGGGAUAGACGGAUAGAUGGGAGGGGAGUAUGGGAUGAAAGGGAUAGAAGGAUAGAUGGGAGGGGAGGAUGGGGAGAGAGGAAGGGAUGGAUGGGAGUGAUGAGAAGAAGGAAGAGAGGGAUGGGUUUGAGGUGAUAUGAGGAUGGAGUGAGAGUCAUGGGUGAGAGAGAUGGGAGUGGGGAAGGAUGGUUUGCUUUAAUGGGAGGAAUAAAAUGAAGGGGGUUAGGAGCUGCAAUAAGGGGGGAUGAGGCUGCAGUGGGGGGGGGAGAUGGGGGUUAGAAGCUGGCACUGUGGUGACCCAGACCAAGUUCCAGGGCAGUCUGUAUCAGGGCAGUCUGGCAGGAGAUGGGGACUUGCUCUGUCCCUGCUGUGCCAUGCUCUCAGCGGUAUUAACUUAAUGAGCGGGGCCUGGCUGAUAGCGCCUCCCAUUUACAAGCUCCGCUCAGCAAAAUGAAUACCAAGGAGAGCAGGCCGGCUAUACCACAAACGGUAUGUUAAGCAGCAUUAGAUAUUACACAUGGUGCCCAUCAAAUGCACCAUGUUAAAAUAAAGAAAUGUGGCGCAGGGCUGGACCUGCUUGUUGGGUGCUUUAGAUUUUGCCUGGGUACAUCUGGCAAGCCUAUGCUUAUAAGACAUAUGUAAAGAAUUAUAUUAACCUUUUCCCACUAAAAUUCCUUCAUUUCAUACACUCAAUCCUUUUACUGACAUCUCCCCUUGCCUUGUGACAUAGUUUUACUAUUAAAGAGAACUAUAGCUCGUUGUUGUGGUUAUGUGCAAAAAGUAUUUGGGAGCCAUUUGUUUAUUGCGGCAAACCAGUUUUAAGUAGUUUAACAAAAACUGUAGUACUCUGGGUACCUAAAACAUAAGGUGACCCUAGGCUGCCGCCUGGGGCCCAACGGUUAGACAGGGGCCACAGAACCAUGAACUUGCUUGGCCCCAUUAACCGUUCAUAUAUAAAGAAUAAAGAAGGGGUAGACUGCCUCCGGUCCUGUGGAAUUGUAAUCCUUUUCUGCCUAAACCCAUCCUGUUUGCAGCCACCCAGGUGAAGUGGAUAUGCAGCUUUGCAUUAUUAUUCCAACCAUACAUAAAUUCACCCCUAGUAAUUAUAGGCUAUCAUUGCUAUCCAGAGCUGAGCAUCUUGGAUGGAUACGACAGAUGUAAAUCUUCCACAUUACUGGCAGAAAGGAUGGAUUUGGGAUCUGAGAAGAGCCCUACUUUUUGCAAAAAAUGCUUAAAAACAGUUCACCAAAACAUAAGCAGACAUCAGUGAAAGACUCUUUACACUAUAACCACUACAAUGAGCUGUAGAGCAUUCCAAUGUAACGUCUGCAGAUGGGCUAUAAAUGGCAGCCCCCUCCUCCUAUUAAACAGUAAAAGAAGCUUCAACAGUCAUACAAUUCCUACAGAGCGUGAGGAGUGAAUGCCAUCUCAUAGAAUUGUUUACAAUAGAUUUACAAUAGAUUGCCACAAUACUUUUUAAAUAUAUAAUUAUUAUCAUUAUUUUAAAUAUAUGAUUUAAUUAUUCUUACUGUAUUUGAGCUUUCUGCUGUGCACAGUCUCAAUGAAAAAAAUUAUUUCAUUUUCAAAAAGAUCUAGUACAACGGCAUAUUUAUUAUUUUCUUUUCUGUUAAUUUUACUUUAAUCACACAUAGGAGGCUCCUGUAAGCUUAAGGAGACAAUUAGUAGGCGAUAAGAAACUCUAAGUGAAACACACUUUGCAAUAAGGGAAUCUAAAACAUUUAGACUCUGUUUCAGGGUCUAAGAGUUUAGGAAGGCUCUGUGACUCACAGCCAGGGAAGGUAUGGCCAGGACAGUAUAAACAAAAUGAUUUAACUUCUAAAUGGCAGAUAAUUGAACAGUGAGACUGCAGUGGCAUGAUCUAUACACCAAAACUGCUUCAUUAAGCUAAAGUUGUUUUGGUGCUGGAAGUGUCUCUUUAAAUUUCCCUGAAUUGCAUUUUUAAAAAAGCUCUCACACUACACUUUUCUUCAAUCCUCCAAAAACCGGAUGGCAGAGCCAGACUGUCACGUGAUCAGGAGAUAUGAGGGUAAUUCACACAAGGAUACGACAGUUCUGCCAUUAUCAGUUGCUAAGAAAUGCUGUAGCAAACACUCAGUAUCCUACAAAUAUAAUAUAGUUGGCUUGUCGGAUAAAAAAAUAUUUGUUUUGACAUUCAAAAUAGAAUUAUUGAUGAACUGUAAUUUACAGCUGUUAUGACGGUGAAUCCAGUGCUAAUUUUGUCAUGUAAAUGCAUUUCCUAAUGGAAAACUUGUUUUUGCCAAUAAAAAAGAAAUUAUAAUAAAAAAAAAAAAGCAAAUACAGUUUCGUGUCCCUCCCUUUCUGAAUCUAACUGCUUAUAUUUUCACUGUUUGGAAUCUACAGCCCUUUUCAUUUAUUUAGUGAAUGCGAUGUGCUGUAUUUAAGGAUUUUAAAAACAGGGUUAAAGUGUUCUUUUAUAUAUUUGUAUAAAGUGCAUAUACCAUAAAAUGAUCUGUUCUCUUUUCUCGUUGUUGUCAUUCAACUGAGAAAGAUAUUGUUACAGUAAAAAGUUUAGUUUCAUCACGUGAUAUUUUGUAAAUGUAUAGUUAUCCUAUACUAUAUGUGUGUCACUCAAGCAAUAUUAAGAUGUCAAUCACUGCUUUUUCCUGACGCAAAGGAUCAGCUGUUUUAUUCCAUCGCUUUUACUGGUUUCUACUUUCCUAACUCUCACUGAAAAGGUCAAUUUCAUUACCACAAAAGAAGAAAAACAAGUACUUAAAGAAUGUGAUGUGUUAGCCAACGCUGCAAAUACUGCUUUGUGGGUCUCUCCAAACGUUCUCAAUUUUUUAAGCAAUUGCCGUAGGUGCUGUGUUACCAAUCACUGUACUGGCAAGACAGAUACAAAAUGUCAAUUAUACUUUAACUGAGACAAAGCAUUUUUACUGUUAAAAAUAUUUUGACUAAACGUAAGCAAUUCCUAAAUUAUACCAGUCUAUAAUGUAAAAUUCAAGGCAGUAUUUGAGUCAUUAUCUUUAGAAGUGAAUCUGUCAUAUAAUACAGAACUGGAUGGGAGGCCCAAUUCUGUAUUGAAUGACAGGAAAUAGUAUACAUAACGAAUUUACAAUCCCAUACCUGAUAUUUAUCAACACUUUAAGUGCUGCCAGUGAGUUGUUAAUGAGGUCGUCACAAUCAUUGUCUCAUCCUUUUUGAGAGCCAUUUUACCAUUGUUGACCAGUGAAUAGUGGCACUUUCUCUUACAUUAAAGAAGCACUAUAGCAUUAGGAAUACAAAUGUCUUUUCUUGGUCCUAUAGUGUUAAAAACACUAUUUAGCCCCCCACCCCUCCUCCCCUUGCCUUUCCCAAAAAGGCUUAAAACUAUGGGAAAGUACUGGAUUGGCUGAGAUUGUCAAUUCUGAUGAUCUCGGCCAAGGAGGCGGGAUGGGGCAGAGUCAAAUGCCGUACUGGCCAAUCAGAAUCUCCUUGAAGAGAUGCAUUUAAUCAGUCUCUAUAGGGAAAGGUCAGUGUCUCCAUACAGAGCAUGGAGGCGCUGAACGGAAGUGCUGCACACUGUGCAGCACUGACCCAGGAAACACCUCUAGUAGCCGUCUGAGUGACUGCACUGGAGGUGUCCCUAGGCUGUAAUGUAAACACUGCCUUUUGUCUAAAUGAGACUGGCUGCACACCCCACAGUCUCAGUCUAAAUGAGACUGGCUGUGCACCCCAUAGUCUCAUCCAUCCCAUUACCUUGAUGACAAGCUCUGUCUUCUUUUUUUUCCCCCUCAGCUUCAAUUAUUUCCUCCUCAACUUCUGGUACAUCUACAAAUCUGUAAAUCUAUAAAGAUUGGAGCAUGCAAACAAGUACACAGCAUAUUAAUGAGGCCAAAAUCUAUAGCUUGCUGUAACCAUGUAUCAAUGAUGUAUCCAUGCAUUGCAUCCUCUGUCUUAAACGGGAAUAUAAAUGAAAGAUAGAUAGACUGAUACCUCUGGCUAUCAUAGAUCUCAUCCUCCUCUAGACUGAUAGUGAUUGAUUAGGGUUCUCGUCUCUAUGUUCCCACUAGAAUACUGUCAAUAGACAGGGUAAUGGCAGAAAAAUGGCAAAACAUUUUCACUGAAGAUAGUGUCCACUGUUUUCCUCUAACCCUGCUUAUCCCAGUGCACCUCUGUUCUUUCAAUGUCUGGUGUUCUAUCCAUGCAUAACAGAUAUUAAACGUACAACAAUGUAUUCAAUGUCUGUUGAGCAGGUACAUAAAUCUUGCUCAGUUCAAAUAUUAUUGUCAAUUGUUCACAGAGUCAGUGAGGGUGGGUCUGCAAUGGGGCAUAUGGAAUAGUUAAACUAUUGUAUGCAAUUGCUACAAAUCUGGUUAGUGAAAGUCAAACAUCUAUUUUUAUUCUCUUUAACAGUUAUUAAUGCUUUUACAUGACUAGCGUACUUUAAAGGACUACUUUAAACACCACAACCACUACAGCCCACUAUCCACAAUCAGUUGACACUGUCAGCCAAUGAGCUGGACCUGCAAGAUAGGUCUUAGCACAGGAGAGCUAAUGGAGCAUCUGGCUCUUAAUAGAGCAUGCUGUAGUGGUUAAAGUGCUUUGAGUGUUCCUUUAAGGGCACUUGCAUAGUUGCACCCUCAUUUAUUAAUUGGUUGACAGACUUUUUUAACAUGAUAAGACACUGUUUUGUAAAUAUUAAAUAUUUUCAUAAACGUGGGUUCAACAACUACCUCACACAUCAUGAUGUUAUUCUUAUUUUUUUUUUUUGCAAUAGCAAACCUUAGCAGUAGAAGGCCCUGUGCCAUAUAUAUUAUAUGGGGACAUGCAGUGCAAUGCAUUCCCAUGUGUGGAGUCUUAUGUCAAAAUGUUGCAAUUCCUGAAGAUCUAGUGUGAAGAAGGUAUUAAAGGGACACUUCAGUAUUAGGAAUACAAAGAUGUAUUCCUAACACAAACGUGUCCCUAAGCCCUCACCACCCCAGCAUUGUAAAGGGUUAAAUAACCCGUUAUUCACUUACCAGAUUCCAGUGCCAAGGUCCCUCGGCGCUGGGCCCGUAUCCGCCUCCUCCGACAUCAUCCGGUGGGAGGAACUAAUGCACAUGUGCAAUGCUUUCCUAUGAGGUUUUCUGUGACGCUGGAUGUCCUCAUGCAGAGCGUGAGGGUGUCCAGCUUUGUUUCACUGAGUCAAACUCUGUAAAACUCCAGCAAGUGCCUCUGGUACACCACCAGUAGAGGCAGUCUUGGUAAAACUGCACUGCUUUACAUUGCAGAACUAAUGGAGCCAGGAACACUGCACCCAGACAACUUCACUGAGACAAGUCCCUUUAAUCCUUCCUCCUCAUGCUCUUCAGAAUGUUAAUCAGACAGGAAAUGACUUCAUAUCCUAAUCUUUCAUUUAUUUCUAUAACCUAUAAGAAAGUAAAGAGGUGAGCCCUCUCCCAUCACACUAGAAAUAUAACCAAGCAUCAUGGAUGACUCUAGUUUACAAACAUUUGCCGUACUUACUUAGAGCUUCAAGGAUUGCAGUCCAUGAAGAGUCUUUGGUCCCUUUAAGACCACACUCUUUCUCACUGCUUAUCCAUAGUUUUUAUCUACAUACUAACAAAAUACGUUUCUAAAAUAACACCAUUUGUUUUAAAAACCAUUCCCGGCAUACAUAUUUGUACAGAACAAAAAUAGCUGAACUCUUUGCUUAAACACAUUCCGGAGAGUUUAUCUUGAGUUUAUCGUGAUUGCUAAAACAUGUGUUUUUUUGUUAAAAUACACCAGCUAAUUUAAUAUAGUUUGGCUGGAAAGGAGAAAUAGGGAAAUCUGGUAAAUGAUUUGGGGAGGUUAAUGAUGUUUUAAAGGUGGAAUGUUUCCAAAGAAUAACACAUACGAGUAUUACUUACAGAAAAGAAACUUGUUUUUGAAGAGGUCAGAGGAUAAUGGUUUAGCAUCAUAUUCAGACUGUCAACCUGUGGAAUCCCUGUUGAUUUUUUAUACUUUACAGCACUGCGGAAUAUGUUGUCGCUAUGUAAAUAAUUGUAAGAAGUAGUCUAACCAAUCAGAAGUUUGAGCUGGUAAUGCAUUAUGAAAUGCGUAAGGGGCUGCAGGACAGCAGCUCAAGUUGCAGGAAAUAGCUACUACAACUAUUGUUAUAGUAACUAUUCUCAACCUCUGAUUAAACCUUCUGCUUAACCAUAGCCACAUAUUUGUGGAGUUGCAAUAUGUGGUAAGAAGUUACAGGCAAAUAGCAUAGUGCUUUAUAGAUACAUGGUUGACAAUAGAUUGACAAUCCAGGAUAGAACAUGAGCUGCAAGAUUAUUUAGAAAAAGUAGAUGCCUAGAAUAGCUACCAGAAACAUAGGACGAUAGAGCAAACCAAAAUGGUCCCAAAACAAGGUCAGGAAGCCAGGUAUGGAAUAUUUCACCAAGGAAGAAGUUUGGCCUGGAAUCAAGAAAAUGCUUUAUAAUCGCAUCACAGUUGUGUUUAAAAGUUUGCACCCGCUUGAGGAAUUGGUGAUAUAUGUACCAUUUUUAAAUAAACAUUUCUUUUAUUUCUUAUGGCAUUCAUAUUCAAAUAUAGGUUAUAACAGAAUGGCACAAUCAUAAAACAAAACAUGGCAACAAAGAAAAUAAAUGAAAUGACCCCUGUUCAAAAGUCUGCAUACCCUUAGUUCUUAAUACUGUGUAUUGCCCCCUUAAGCAUCAAUGACAGCGUGCAGUCUUUUGUAAUAGAUGUCUAUGAGGCCCCUGAUUCUUGCAAGUGGUAUAGCUGCCCAUUCGUCUUGGCAAAAUGCCUUCAGGUCAUGUGAAGUAUUUGGUUGUCUUGCAUGAACUGCACGUUUGAGAUCUCCCCAGCACUCACACAGCCCCAAAACAUAAGUGAGCCACCACCAUGCUUCACAGUGGGGAUGGUAUUCUUUUCAUUAUAGGCCUUGUUGACCCAUCUCCAAACAUAGCACUUAUGGUUGUGACCAUAAAGCUCUAUUUUGGUCUCGUCACUCCAAAUUACAUUGUGCCAGAAGCUGUGAGGCGUGUCAAGGUGUUGUCGGUCAUAUUGUUACAGGGCUUUUUUUGUGGCAUUGGCGCAGUAAAGGCUUCUUUCUGGCAACUCGGCCAUGCAGCUCAUUUUUGUAUCGUCAAAAUGUGCUGCUUGAAACAACCACACCGUCUCUUUCCAGACCAGCCUGUAUUUCUCCUGAGGUUACCUGUGGGUUUUCCUCUGUAUACCGAACAUUUCUUCUGGAGUUGUGGCCAGAAUAUUUCUUGGUCUACCUGACCGUGGCUUGGUAUGUGUUCCUUUAACCAUUUUGAAUUGGUGGAUGUUGUACAAAUCCACCAGUUUUUCUUUGAAGUGCACAAAAAGCAUAAAAACAAAAUAUGAUUCUCCAAAUUAGUCCAAUAUACUGUAUUUAUAUUCCAAUGUACUAUUCUUCAGUUGGUCACUGCGUAGAUAUCCUGGAGAUAUCAUAAGGCAAGUCCUAACAGGAUGAUCAAAAAAUAAAGACGAAUUUGAUAUAUCAUGCAUUUGCAAGUUCUUUCAGCUUUGUAUCAGAACUCGCACAGACAUGUUUCUGCUGACAUAAGACAUCACCAGUAAUUUGUCAAGUAAGUGUUUUAUACUUCUACAUGAAGUUCAUGCUGAGUUUAUGAUGUCAUGAAGCUUGAGGGUACAAUAAUCACCUAAACAAAUCUCUCUGAAUUUAACCACUUCGUCACAGCUUAACUUGUUGCUUGGUAUUAUUGCGUCCCAGAGUGUGAUAAUUUAAGGACUGACUAUCGUUGUCAGAAUCUAACAAUACACAGUUGUUAGUUGUGUUUGUUUUGUUAUUUGUAUAGAUUUUGUGAGGUUAAAAAAAAAAUUUACCUGUCACCUUCGAUCUCAGCCUAUCAUUGGCAUUCAGGUUGAACAAAAUAUACAUUAACAAUGCAUAAGAAUAAAUCCUUGAAGGUGUGGAGGUUCCAAGGUUGUAUAGGGGAGCUAUCCGAUCACUUCCAAACCACUUGACAAAGAAACCAUUUGACAAAUAAGCAUUUGUCCUUUAAAUCAGAUGCUGAUGUGGCAGUAUUGAAAUCCUUAAAGGAACAUUAUAGGGUCAGGAACACAAACAUGUAUUCCUGACCCUAUAGGCAUCCCUUGCCCCCUAAAUAAAGUAACAUCUUAUUUGUAUUCCAGUCUGCUGCUGCUGGCUCUGCCCCUGAUCUGCCUGCUUGGCUGACAUCAUCAGAAGUAAUGAUCAUGACACAAUCACAAUGCUUUCACAUAGGAAAGCAUUGGAUUGGCUGAGCUUGUGAAGAAGGCAGAUCAGGAGCAGGGCUAGCACAAGCCAAACACAGCCCUGGCCAAUCAGCAUCUCCUCAAAAAGAUGCAUUGAAUCAAUGCAUCUCUAUGAGGAAAGCUCAGUGCCUCCAUGCAGAGGGUGGAAACACUGAAUGGCAGUGUUGCACAUUGUGCAGCAAUGCCCCAGGAAGCACCUCUAGUAGCCAUCUGAGGGGUGGCCAGGGGAGGUAUUCCUAGGCUGUACUGUAAACAUUGCAUUUUCUCUGAAAAAUCUGUAUUUACUGCAAAAAAAUUGAAGGUAAUGAUUAUACUCACCAGAACAACUACAAUAAGCUGAAGUUGUUCUGGUGACUACAUUCUCCCUUUAAAUAAAAGUUGGCAAAAUAAAUGGCCAAGACUGCUUGUUUGUACAAAUUAAUAUAACUAUUAGAUUGAUACUGGUCAAGAAAAAAUAUGCAUGUGUAUUUGUUGAUGAUAACAGAUAUGUACAUUCACUCUUGUUAAAAAAAAGUAUGAAAGAUAUACUCCUAUUUCUAUACAACAAUGGUUGCAAGGGUGUAUAGGAGAGCUAUCAAAUCACUUCCAAACCAUUUGACAAAGAAACCAUUUGACAAAUAAGCAUGGGCAGGGCUUAUCGGCACCAUAACUACUACACCCUGAGCACAUCCUUCUAUUAGAGCCACCUUGACCACUUUCCAUAGAUUCACACAUUUACCGGUCCCUCCAUGGAGUGAAAGCAGCGGUGUGUAUGCAUGAAUGAGUGCGUGCGCACAUGUUUGUGUGAAUGCGUGGGUUUAUUUCUGAAAAAAAUCUACAUAAGUGUAGUUAUUCAUAAAACUAUGAAUAGAUUAAUAUUAGAAAAGAAGAUGAUGGGCCAGAGAAGUUUUCCAAUGCAUCUAUUUUGGCAAAGCAUUUUUCAGUUUUCCAAAAGUCCCAGUUAAGUGAAUAAACCCCAAAAGUAAAAACAGUAAAUUCAAUUGAGAAUUUACCAAUACGGCAAGUAAUGUGUAUAAAUGUACAUUCCAGGAAAUAUUGAUCUGUUUAAUUUAAGAAAUAUAUAAAUAUAUUAUUUUAUUUUAUUAUUGUUUUUUUUUUAGGGUCACUAGGAUCACUAAACGCUGUUUUACUGGCAAAUGCUUAUCCUCUGUGAUUCUGUCCACAAAGAAUUUGCCUACAUUAAGGCGAUGAACACGAUGUUUCCGCAUUUAAGAGAAUAUGGUGCUAUUAUGGCUCUGUUUUAUGUAGACAUUUGAGCUUUCCCUCUUUCAGGUGUUGAUAGGAGCACGUUGGAACAUGUUGUAUUGUAUUAAAUUGGCAUUCCAUGUUACUCAUCAAUUGUUUUCUUACUCAGCUAAGAAGCCUUAUUGUAAUGUCAGAAAAUACAUCCUAGCAGCGAUCUGCACUCCGAAAACAGACUUUCUGCGAUAAAUAGUUUAAAUUAGGAGCAGAUGUUUGCAAAAAAUUGUAGGCAAAAAAAAAAAUAGUUUUUCUUGCCUCGUGCUUGGUUUUGCAACCCAUUUUAAAGAAUUUCCAUUAAUCUUUUCUAAACCCUAAAUAUCUUUUGUUGUGCAAUAGUAUUAUGUGACUGAUUGUUUUUUACUAGGCAUUUCCUGGUAUGUUUUUUUUGUAGUGAGGACACCCUAGUUUAUCCUUGCUUAGGCAAGGCACGUUUUGAUUCCCUUCAAAUUUUAGCAGCACGGUUUGCACGUCUUGAGGGGAGCUCUAGAUAAGGUUGAAGAUACUAGAAUAAUUUUAGAGUCUUUGACAUCUGUUUUCUUUAAUGGAGAUUAACAUUGUGGGGUAGGGAUUGAACAAUUAAUCAACAUACUUCUCUUAUAAUAUUAUCACACAUACUUCUCAAGGAUUCUGCUUUAGGAGGGAUAAACCCUCUUGGGGUCAUGAAAGCUUUGUCCUGUCCCUUUCCACCUUAGUUCCCUUCAUUUUAUGGACCCUAAUAGAUACUGAAUAUUCUAAUAUCCCAGAUAAGAGAUACUUGCACAGAAUAGACAGAACAUGGAAUAUAGAUUUUCUAAAAGGACUGCCCCAUAGAGAGCCAAUUCACGUUAAAGCAGGAAACUUCAGAGUAAUUUAAUCUUAAUCAGAAAAUCUAGAUUUUAAUUUAUUUUUGCAGGCCUGAUGCUGGGCCACCAGUGUUUUGUGUGCAGUUAUAUUCAUGCGUGUUGGAUAAUAAUAUAUUUUGAUUAUAACGUGGCAGCCUCCAGAUCCUGGCUAAUGACCACGUGGUGGAAANNNNNNNNNNNNNNNNNNNNNNNNNNNNNNNNNNNNNNNNNNNNNNNNNNNNNNNNNNNNNNNNNNNNNNNNNNNNNNNNNNNNNNNNNNNNNNNNNNNNUCAGAAGGAAAACAAAUGUGAACUUAAUCAUCUGUCCAGACACAUACUCUAGAUUACAAGAAAAUGAUGGAAUCAUAAUUAUACAAUGUUCUUAGAUCAACAUUGCUGGAUCUAGAUUGCUAGCACUUUGAAAAAGUCUUUCUAGUUUUGAUAUGACAAACUACAUAUCUUAUUGUCAUUACAUUAUAUUGCCUUAAAUAGCAGAACACCCUCAACUGCAUUCACUAAAUUGCAAAUUAUUGUGAAUUCCAUAUUUUAGUUCAAAAUAGCUGAACUGGAAGUAAAGCUAAUUUUUAGAGUAUUCAAAAUGGACUAUUUUCACCUAAAAUGUAAAAUCCACUUCAAAUCCACUUUGAGUUCCCAAACAAUUUACACUUUUGUAAAUAAACCCUCUCGGUCUUUAUAAACAAUUCCUACCCAACCAUUGGCUUAUGUGAAAAUACUUUGAAGAAGACCUGCCGUGAGUGGGUAAUUCUUAGAGCAGAAAAGAAGAGAUUAGAAGGUAUGUUUUAAGCAACACUAACUUGUUAAGAAUACAAAUCUGUAUUCCUAGAACUUUAAUGUUCCUAGUUUUUGAAGCCCUCCUUCCUUAUAUGAAUACAUUUUAACACAAUAAAGGUAUUUGCUGACCCUUUUCAAGCCCCCUUGGUGCUGGUUUCAAGUUACAACAUCACAGAGAAGGCUUGGCCUCCUUUACGAUGGUCCCGUCCAAUGCUCCUCAUAGACCUGAGGAUUCUGGGGACCUGUUACACAGACGCAGUGAACACCACGUCCACAUCCAAGCUUCCCAUAGCAAAGAAUUAAAUCAAUGCUUUCCUAUGGGGGGCUUCUGCAUCACAUGGCUGAAUAUUUGUGGUAGCACCCGAAGUGGCUGUCAGGAAGACAACUACUAGAGGAGGACUUAAAAAACUCGUUUGAGCAGGGUCUUUAGCAACCUAUUGCUCCUGUAACAUUUUGUAAUAAUCUAAUUUAUUUAAAUUAUGUUUAAUUUGCCUCUUAUAAUACUGUAAAUCACUGCAGAAUAAGUUGGCGUUAUAUAAAUGCCAAAAAUAAUAAUAAUAACCCUGUAAUACAAGCAGUGCAUGUUCUACAAAACUUAAAUUGUGUUAUUUUAGGAUUAAAAGGGCAGGACUAGGCACCCAGACCACUUUAUUGAGAUGAUGUUUGUGGUCGUUCAAUACGUAAAAGAAUAUUGAAUUAUUGAAAAGUUUGAUAGCAGUAACAACUGUGGUGCACAAUUUGAAAUAUUUCAUACCUGUGAACUGUAUAGUCGUUGUUUGUUGUGUUACUGACCCUUCUUUGUGUGUUGAUACUGGUUGAAUAAGUUGAAUUAUUAUUAGUUGGGACACUUGUAACUCACCAUGUCACUGCUGUGCCCUUUAUUGUUUUUUUUGUACAGUUUGCCAUGACAAAUAUUCAGUUCAAUGAAAAAAAAAUAGAAAGCGUAGCAUUUUAUUUACAUGCACAAAAAGGAUUACCGGUACUUGUUAUAUACAUGAUACUUCCACUGGCGGAUCCAGGGGGGGGGCAACGGGGCAAUUGCCCCCCCCGAGAAAUCCGCCGGUCUCCCUCCCCUGCCAGCCCUGCAAUGUGCCUGCGGACCGGAGGGGAGAUCAGAGCUCUCCCUCCCCGGUCCGCAGGCACUGUGCUGAGAGCCGGCAGGGGAGGGAGAGGGAGGACCCGGGAGCUCAGUCUGCAGCUCCUCCGGGUCCUCCUCUCGCGAGAUUUGGAGCGUUGCCGCGGUUACCACGGCAACGCUCCAAAUCUCGCGAGAGUGAACUCUAGCCCGGGAGCGCGGGCUAGAGUUCACUGUAACCACUGGGACCACCAGGGAAUCACCACUGGGACCACCAGGGAAUCACCACUGGGACCACCAGGGAUGAAAAUAUGUCCCCCCUCCUCCUCCAUAAAGGUAAGAAGGGAGGGGGGACAUAGAAUAUUUGCUUUUUUUAAUUAAAUAAAGAUAUAUAUUAUUUUAAAAAGCCCCCCCCUACCCUUAACACACACACACACAUAGCCCCCAUGCUGCCCCCCCAUACAAACAUACUGCCCCCCAUGCUGCCCCCCCAUACACACAUACUGCCCCCCCAUACACAUACUGCCCUAUACAAUAACAUUUACAUACACACAUACUGCCCCAUGCUGCCCCCCAUACACACAUGCCCCAUAUACUGCCCCCCCAUACACAUAUACUGCCCCCCCCAUACACAUACUGCCCCCAUACACAUACUGCCCCAUGCUGCCCCAUACACACAUACUGCCCCCCAUGCUGCCCCCCCCCAUACUGCCCCAUGCUGCCCCCAUACACACCUAUACUGCCCCAUACACAUACUGCCCCCCCAUGCUGCCCCCCCAUGCACACAUGCUGCCCCAUGCCAUACACACAUGCUGCCCCCCAUGCUGCCCCCAUACACACAUACUGCCCCCAUGCCUUUAUACACAUACUGCCCCAUGCCCCCCCAUACACACAUACUGCCCCCCCAUACACACAUACUGCCCCCCCAUACACAUACUGCCCUCAUACACACAUACUGCCCCGCAUACACACACACUGCCCCCAUACACUGCCGCCCCAUACACACACAUUGCCCACAUUCACACACACACUGCAACUGUUACACACACAUACUGUCCCACACAUACACUGCAUCCCUGACAUACACUGCCCCCCCUACUCACACACUACAACCUUCACACACACACACUGCUCACACACUGUCCCCCUCACACACACACACACACUGCACCCCUUACACAUUGCACCACUCACACACACCACUGCUCCUAUGCCCUACUACCGCCCCAUUUCCCAGCAGACCUCAGGUAAGUUGUCAAACUGUUCUUAAACGGUUUGACUACUUACUCUAGGAGGGGGUCCCGGCACUAUUGACACCAUAACCACUACACUGAGCUGUAGUAGUUAUUGUGUCUGGAUUAUUUCUUUAAAUAAUCUACAAGUGCCCCUCCCGAGAUCAGGCUCUGGAUCCGCCACUGGAUACUUCUAUAUAAUAUAGCGCUACGGUUGUUGUUCGCACUUUAUAAAUAAUAAUAAUAAUAUACAAAUAUUCCACUUCUAUAAAGGUUAUUGUAAUUUAAUUUAAAAGUAACCAUGCAUUAUGGUUGUGUUAGAUUUGGGUUCCAGACAAGUGUGUACAGACAGGUGGUUUUGAGGGCAUUUUGGCACCCAUAAUUUAUUUAAUACUUUUAUUCAGAACAUAUUCCCACAGAUUUAACAUUGCCCUGGGGUUUAUGAAAGUGAAUAUGCUUUCGAUCUCAUUUUUGUGCCAGUUAAAAUCUGAAAGCCAGAGGGAUGUACUUUUUGACUGAGUACAUUGUAUAAUAAAAUGUUUCAUUUAUUUAAUGGAUAGUAAAAUGUACACAAUCCUUUCCUCCCCGCAAUUCCCCGCAGCUCUGAUUAAUAGAUUGCUGUUGAAUUCAGAGCAAACCCAUACAGCUCUGUUAAAAGCAAAACUGGUGGGAUGCCUUUAGCCGGCACAUUUGAAGGCCUAUAUCCUGAUAACCAGUCAAGACCUGUUUUUAAUCAAAGUGUGUGACCCUGCGAGUAUUAUCCCUUGUAACACUAAAACACAGAAUAUUGCAGUUUUGUACUUUCUUCACUGGCUGGAUUAUAUAGUUACAUAGUUACAUAGCUGAAAAGAGACUUGCGUCCAACAAGUUCAGCCUUCCUCACAUAUGUUUUUGCUGUUGAUCGAAAAGAAGGCAAAAAACCUGGUCUGAAGCUCUUCCAAUUUUGCAACUGGGGUCAAUUCCUUCUUGACCCCAAAUAGCAGUCAGAUGUCUCCAUGGAUCAAGUAGCUUUUACCCCACUAAUUAGAAAUUAGUGGGGUAUAUCCCUAGAUAAAGUGAAGAGAAUGAAGAGAGUAAACCUUAUGUCUUGAGUAAAUGCUACUACCUAAAUAAGACAUCCCACAAAAGUAAGCUGUAGCUUAUUUUCGGGGGAUGCUCCUAAUAUAAGCCCUACCUAGAAAAUAAGUCGUAGUUGCUAAUAUAUGUUUGGGGAAUUUUCCUAGAACAUAGAUUCGCGGGAUUCCAUGCGCAAAUAAGCUAAUCUAUGUUUGGGGAAGUUUCCUCGAGCAUAGAUUUGUGGGAUUCCAUGCCCUAUGAUCUAUGUUCGGGGGAAUUCCCCGGAAAUUAGACCUGCUUUCUUGUACAUGCUUGCUACCGUUUUCCGCUGAAAUAAGACAUGUAGUACUUCUAGAGGGUGUAGUGUGCAUGUAUGUGUAUCGGGACUCUUGUGUGGGUGUAUCUAAGGGCUGUAGCGUGUUACAGGAGCUGCGAUGUGUAUUUUUAUGUAUAGGGGCUGUAGUUUGUGUUUCAUGGUAGUUUGUGUUUGUAUAUGGGCUGUAGUGUGUGAGUCUAGGAGCUAUAGAGAUUGUUUGUGAGUCUAGAGGGUGUAGUGUAUGUGAUUGGUCUAUAUGGUGUAGUAUGUGUCUAGAGGGUGUGUGUGCAUCUAAGGGCUGUAGUCUGCAUUUACAUGUAUAUAAUGUUUAUGUGUAUGGACUGUAGUGUGGGGCUACAGUGAGUUUGCAUUAGGGCUGCUGUGUGUGUAUAAGGGUCUUCAGUAUGUAUUUAUGGGGCUGUUGUGUAGAGGGGCAAGGGUUCAGGCUGUAGAGGGAAACAUAUAAUAAAACUAAAAAAAUCAAACCAUACAAAAAAAAAAAAGAUAUAUUUAUGAGUUUAAAGACUAUUAGCACAACACAUUUAAUACACUGCCCUUCUUCCUCCCCCUGCUUUCCCCUAAUUUAAAACACUCCCCCUCUCCCUACCCCCAAUUUAAUAUACUUUUUAUCUAUCCCAAUUUCAUACACUGCCCUCCCUCCCCCUCCCCCAAUGCAAUACACUGCCCUCCCCUCUCCCCCAAUGCAAUACACUGCCCUCCCACCCCCCCUCCCCCAAUUCAAUACACUGCCUUCCCCUUCUCCCCCAAUUUAAUACACUGUCCUUAUUUCUCUAUCCCCAAAUUUAAUAUAACCCCUCCUCCCCAAUUUAAUACACUGCCUUUCUUCCCCCUCCCCUAAUUUAAUACACUGCCCUCUAUCCCCCUCCCCCAAUUUAAUACACUGCCCUUCUCCCCCCUCCACAAAUGCAAAACACUGCCCUUCCUCCCAUGCUACCCCAAUUCAAUACACCAUCCUCCCUGCCAUGCUACCCCAAUUUAAUAUACUGCCCUCCCAUGCUACCCCAAUUCAAUACACUGCCCUCCCUCCCACGCUACCCCAAUUCAAUGCACUGUCCUCCCUCCCAUGCUACCCCAAUUCAAUACACCGCCUUCCCCUGCUACCCCAAUUCAAUGCACUGCCCUCCCUCCCCUGCUACUCCAAUUCAAUACACUGCCCUCCCCUCAUACUCCAAUUCAAUACACUGCCCUCCUCUGCUACUCCAAUUCAACACACUGCCCUCCCCUGCUAUCCCAAUUCAAUGCACGGCCUCCCUCCCCUGCUACUCCAAUUCAAUACACUGCCCUCCCCUGCUACUCCAAUUCAAUACACUGCCCUUUCCUGCUACCCCAAUUCAAUACACUGCCCUCCCUCCCCUGUUAGCCCAAUUCAAUACACUGCCUCCCCGGCUACCCCAAUUCAAUACACUGCCUCCCCUAAUUUAAUACAUCACCCCCUUCCCCUUCCUCUAGUUUAAUGCAAUACCAGAAGGUCCCCAGGCCCCUUUUAGCCUAUCUCACGAGAUCCUUCAGUUCUAUGAUCGUCUGUGCUCAAGCAGGCUACACUGCGAGCAGAAGUAAGAGGGAGUGGCUGGCCUGCUCGGCACGCAGUCAGCCACUCUGCACAUUGUAGGGCCGCCAUUGGAUAUGACAUCACACGCUGAAUGCGCAUAUCGCGACUGGCGCGGACAAAGGCUUUGAGCUCUUGCAUCUCUGAUGCAUGCGAUCAGACGCGGCUGAUCGUAGCCACAGCACACAGUGGCCCCAGGGCAGGCGGCCUACCAGGAAAUUUCUCGGUAUACUGGUAGGCCAGUCCGCCCCUGCUCAUAAUGUACACAUUACUGCCUCUGAUAGCCCAAACAUAUUAUUUAGCUAAUUAUUGCUAUCAAGGAAAUGUAUGCGCAGUCACUCACUUUUUCAGAGUGACAAGAACACAAUCCCAUAGGAUCUCCUCCAAUCAGUUCCUAUGUGGGUGUGCUUAGCUGAGGCCUCCUUUCCUGAAUAACAGCCAAUGUCAGGAUAACGGCUGAUAUCUUGGCAUAGGCUUGUGGAAUGGGAGUAGAGGGGAGGUCCUUUUUUAUUCUCAGGGGUAGACACAAAGCAAAUUCCAGCAUGCCGUGCUUAGGGGACUCUAAAAGCCUGUAAUUUAGAGGGAUCACAUAAUCCAUGUGAACUAUGGGAAUAAUAAUUAAGAUGGUGAAAUCUUCCCUGUGAGAUAUGGAAAUAUCAUCUGGCCACAAAAUAUUGAAUAGAUCACAUUAUCAGAGUGUGUGUGCGUGUGUGUGUGCGCGUAUGCAUGUGUAUGGGUGUGUGUGCGUGUGUUUGUGUUUAUAUUCACACACUUCCGUAAGAGCUACGUUCCCUUUAAUAAGGAACACACACAACGUGGAAACACAUACUGUAUUAUACUGGAGCCACCCGCGCACACGAUUAUGUUGUACAGAUGUGUAGAGUCUUGUGGUAGAACAUUAUAAUGCUAAUGAUGGGUUCCACUGCAAGAUUAUACCUUGGUUCUAGCCAUGUCUUUAAUAUAGCAGUGUUAGCAUUUUGCAGCAGAAUGCCAUAGAUGUUAUAAUUACAGGAGAACUUGCAUACCGUGAUGUUACCACGUACAUUCUUCUCUCUCAUAGUUCUUCUCAGAUGUGUGAUGGAAUAAAAACAUUAAGGCAACCUAAACAAACUCACACACAUUUUCAGCUACAACAAGCCAGGAGCUAAGUGUGAGAAAUGCAAAAUACCGUUGCCCACGGCAGGCCACUAAGAAUAUCCCAGUGUUGCCGUCACGGCGUAGAAUCCCUGAUAUAAAUAGUGGCAAUCUAGGAAGUAAAUCACAAAAGUCAAGAUGAACGAAAGAUGGCCAACUCUCACGCCGACCCUUUAAUUUUAUAAUGUUGUAAAAAAAAAAAAAUAUUAAUGAUUCCUGUUGUGGUCUUAUUAUUGGUAUUGAAUUCUUUGUUUAGUUUGUGUUCCUGAUUUUAACUUUGACUUACCCUGACUACAUUGAUAUCCGUUAUCCCAACCUGGGCUCUGCUUCAUCUUAUUGUUGUCUUUUUCUACGCUAUUCCCUUUGCAGACAUUCUUUGCUUAUCUUGUACUAUUGCGUUAAGCCCAGCCACUCUAAGGACCAAAAAUAUGCUUUAUCUUAUCUUCUUCUUCUCCUCUGUCUCAGGUUUGCGUGUAUUGACAUUCAAUCCUGACAAUUAUUUGGUAACUUGCCCGUUUAUUGGAGAAGGUUGAGCAUUCUUGUACCAAACCUGGACUUAUAAGGCCAUGGUGCUUAUGGUGUAAAUAAUCAUGUAUAAUCAGUAAUACAUUUGUUUAAAAGUUAUGUUUGCCAAUUACGGGUUUUGAUUGAGCAAAUAAAAAAGACCACAGACUUUUUCCAACAUUAUGUGUCUUUAUAUUUUAUUGGUUUGUUGCAAGUAUGCUUUUCCAGACACAUGGUCGUGUUGUAAUGAUAUGUGUAAUUAGCUACUGGGUUUGAUUGGUGAUACUUGGAGGAACACAUACCAUGCUGUUAGUUUUUGACCAAUACUUUAUCCACUGAAUCGUAUCAACCAAGUUAAACCAAAGCAGAUCCAGUUUUGUUCACAGUGGCAAGGAUUGCCAUUGAUCAGAGUUAUUAAGGAACCACAAAAACCUCAUAUGCAGCUUCCUAUAUCCAUAUCAUAUCCAACUCUACAAAUGUUCAUAUGUAUAACAAGACAGAGUCAACUGCACUUUGAUUAAUAAUUGGAAAGAUUUGACAAGCUUAAUAAAGAAUCCAAACUAUUCUUAAAUGAAUCGAUCCGUCUGUACUCAUCUUUUUGUUGUCUUUUUCAGGUCCUGUUGUUUACCUCUACUCAGGUGAGAGAUAUUGAUAUAAUUUGAAUUACUUUAUGGAAAAUGAAAUGGUAGCGUUACAAGUCAAUGUAUAGGUUUAAAAAUAAAAAACUAUAAUCUAUCACCGUCCCUUCCUGUCAAUCAAUCAGAAUGCAGAACCACAUAAAGAAUUGGUUAGGAGCCUAGAGCAGGAUAAC
Molecule: long non-coding RNA, 21609 nt
Filed under: Pelobates cultripes (western spadefoot toad)
Lineage: Eukaryota; Metazoa; Chordata; Amphibia; Anura; Pelobatidae
Source: RNAcentral